CAGCCGCCGCGGGAAUACAGAGGGUGCGAGCGUUAAUCGGAUUUACUGGGCGUAAAGCGUGCGUAGGCGGCUUCUUAAGUCGGAUGUGAAAUCCCUGAGCUUAACUUAGGAAUUGCAUUCGAUACUGGGAAGCUAGAGUAUGGGAGAGGAUGGUAGAAUUCCAGGUGUAGCGGUGAAAUGCGUAGAGAUCUGGAGGAAUACCGAUGGCGAAGGCAGCCAUCUGGCCUAAUACUGACGCUGAGGUACGAAAGCAUGGGGAGCAAACAGGAUUAGAGACCCCGGUAGUCCCUGUCUCUUAUAA
This 301-nucleotide ribosomal RNA is filed under the name uncultured bacterium. RNAcentral's name for it is "partial 16S ribosomal RNA". It matches the Rfam family "Bacterial small subunit ribosomal RNA", at positions 509 to 809 of the family's 1533-position model. The record is from RNAcentral.